GACCAAGGAGUCUAACACGUGCGCGAGUCGCAGGGUUGUACGAAACCCGAGGGCGUAACGAAAGUGAACGAGAUCUUCGGAUCUAUCAGGUGGGAUCCCGAAGCCUUCGGCAACGGGCGCACCACCGGCCUGUCUCGGCCGCCACGCCGGCGAGGCGGAGCAAGAGCGUACGCGUUGGGACCCGAAAGAUGGUGAACUAUGCCUGAGCAGGAUGAAGCCAGAAGAAAUUCUGGUGGAAGUCCGCAGCGAUUCUGACGUGCAAAUCGAUCGUCAAACUUGGGUAUAGGGGCGAAAGACUAAUCGAACCAUCUAGUAGCUG
This 319-nucleotide ribosomal RNA is filed under the name Hirudinaria manillensis. RNAcentral describes it as "eukaryotic LSU rRNA". It matches the Rfam family "Eukaryotic large subunit ribosomal RNA", at positions 664 to 953 of the family's 3401-position model. The record is from RNAcentral. Lineage: Eukaryota; Metazoa; Annelida; Clitellata; Hirudinida; Hirudinidae.